This is a small nucleolar RNA of Tachyglossus aculeatus (Australian echidna), 138 nucleotides long. The record is from RefSeq and is a predicted model, not a curated record. NCBI's taxonomy places the organism in Eukaryota, Metazoa, Chordata, Mammalia, Monotremata, Tachyglossidae.
UCCCUCUUAGGACUGCACCUGCAGACUUUCCAGUACUCUACCAGUCUUGACUGUGGGAGGGAGAGUCAAGCAGAAGCAUACCCAUUCCAUUCCUAGCUUGACCAGUGGCUAGCAAGUGGAAGAAACUCUGCUACAAGU